Molecule: ribosomal RNA, 356 nt
Filed under: Pediococcus pentosaceus
Lineage: Bacteria; Bacillati; Bacillota; Bacilli; Lactobacillales; Lactobacillaceae
Description: bacterial SSU rRNA
Rfam family: Bacterial small subunit ribosomal RNA
Source: RNAcentral
GUACUUGUACUGAUUGAGAUUUUAACACGAAGUGAGUGGCGAACGGGUGAGUAACACGUGGGUAACCUGCCCAGAAGUAGGGGAUAACACCUGGAAACAGAUGCUAAUACCGUAUAACAGAGAAAACCGCAUGGUUUUCUUUUAAAAGAUGGCUCUGCUAUCACUUCUGGAUGGACCCGCGGCGUAUUAGCUAGUUGGUGAGGUAAAGGCUCACCAAGGCAGUGAUACGUAGCCGACCUGAGAGGGUAAUCGGCCACAUUGGGACUGAGACACGGCCCAGACUCCUACGGGAGGCAGCAGUAGGGAAUCUUCCACAAUGGACGCAAGUCUGAUGGAGCAACGCCGCGUGAGUGAAG